Molecule: ribosomal RNA, 492 nt
Filed under: uncultured bacterium
Lineage: Bacteria
Description: partial 16S ribosomal RNA
Rfam family: Bacterial small subunit ribosomal RNA
Source: RNAcentral
AGUGAACGCUGGCGGUAGGCCUAACACAUGCAAGUCGAACGGCAGCACAGUAAGAGCUUGCUCUUACGGGUGGCGAGUGGCGGACGGGGGAGGAAUACAUCGGAAUCUACUUUUUCGUGGGGGAUAACGUAGGGAAACUUACGCUAAUACCGCAUACGACCUACGGGUGAAAGCAGGGGAUCUUCGGACCUUGCGCGAUUGAAUGAGCCGAUGUCGGAUUAGCUAGUUGGCGGGGUAAAGGCCCACCAAGGCGACGAUCCGUAGCUGGUCUGAGAGGAUGAGCAGCCACACUGGAACUGAGACACGGUCCAGACUCCUAAGGGAGGCAGCAGUGGGGAAUAUUGGACAAUGGGCGCAAGCCUGAUCCAGCCAUACCGCGUGGGUGAAGAAGGCCUUCGGGUUGUAAAGCUCUUUUGUUGGGAAAGAAAAGCAGCAGGUUAAUACCCCGCUGUGCUGACGGUACCCAAAGAAUAAGCACCGGCUAACUUCGUG